AACGAACGCUGGCGGCGUGCUUAACACAUGCAAGUCGAACGGUGAAAGUGGAGCUUGCUCCGCUGGAUCAGUGGCGAACGGGUGAGUAACACGUGGGCAACCUGCCCCAGACUUCGGGAUAACUCCUCGAAAGAGGUGCUAAUACCGGAUACGAAGCCCCCAGGCAUCUGGGGGCUUGGAAAGUUUUUCGGUCUGGGAUGGGCCCGCGGCCUAUCAGCUUGUUGGUGAGGUAACGGCUCACCAAGGCGACGACGGGUAGCCGGCCUGAGAGGGCGACCGGCCACACUGGGACUGAGACACGGCCCAGACUCCUACGGGAGGCAGCAGUGGGGAAUAUUGGACAAUGGGGGCAACCCUGAUCCAGCCAUGCCGCGUGAGUGAUGAAGGCCUUAGGGUUGUAGAGCUCUUUUACCCGGGACGAUAAUGACUGUACCGGGAGAAUAAGCCCCGGCUAACUUCGUGCCAGCAGCCGCAGUAA
RNAcentral lists this ribosomal RNA (478 nucleotides) under uncultured bacterium. Its description in RNAcentral is "partial 16S ribosomal RNA". It matches the Rfam family "Bacterial small subunit ribosomal RNA", at positions 29 to 523 of the family's 1533-position model. The record is from RNAcentral.